AAAGCUGUAAGCUAAAGAAUGAAUGCAGUCAUCAAGUUUGGUUUUGUAUUGUAGCCCCCUCACUCCCUCCCGAAGACUUUCGCUUGUCCACUUCCUUUGAAAAUUGUUCCUAUGCUUACUCCUAGUCUGUAUUAUACAGGGUUCACAGUCGGGUUCGUCUAGGCUGUCACUUGAGCCACCUUCUGUUACGCCAUCAGCAAAGGAUGGAUCGCCAUCAACUAUAUCGACUGAUCAACCAUCUCCAUCGACAUCUGGUGGAUCUGUCCAGGAGAGUAGAACCAAUGGAUCUAGUUCUGGCUUGUUUGGGCUGGGUAGGUUAUCUGGCGUCUAUGCUCCAUUUCUGAGCAGAACUCGGAGUGCCACAGAUUCAGUAGUCCAACAAACUCGUUCGACUAGUUAACAGUAAUAACAUGUCCUUUCUUUCUCUUCUUAUUCUGCAGUAAACAACUAUAGAUUAUUGGACCUAUGGUGGGGGUGAAAAUCCUCACCAGUUGGUGUCUGUUCAAAAGACGUAUGCACCAUCAAUUAUAGUAUGCCCAGGCCAGAUUAUAAACUGUCUGGGCAAUUGAAUUUUGCAGAGAUGUUUCUCUCGAGUUUCAUUAGGAUUAAAAUUAAAUAAGAAUCUCCAAUAUUGAACUGGGAAAGCUGGUCAAGGAAAGAGGGACUAUUGAGUCGUCGUGAACUCUUUUUGUUCAGCCUAUUACUUUGUGAAUUUUAUACAAAUCUUGUUAACAAAUUUUCGCAUAGCUCUAAUAAUACAAUGACGGCCUUAGAAACCGUUGUAA
Molecule: non-coding RNA, 785 nt
Organism: Vigna umbellata (rice bean)
Lineage: Eukaryota; Viridiplantae; Streptophyta; Magnoliopsida; Fabales; Fabaceae
Source: RefSeq, a predicted model, not a curated record